GCUGGGCGUGGUGGCGGGUGCCUGUAAUCCUAGCUACUUGGGAGGCUGAGGUAGGAGAAUUGCUUGAACCCAGGAGCUGGAGGUUGCAGUGAUCUGAGAUGGUGCCACUGUACUCCAGCCUGGGUGACAGAGCAAGACUCCGUCUCCA
This is a non-coding RNA of Gorilla gorilla gorilla (western lowland gorilla), 148 nucleotides long. It matches the Rfam family "Metazoan signal recognition particle RNA". Rfam says of the family: The signal recognition particle (SRP) is a universally conserved ribonucleoprotein. It is involved in the co-translational targeting of proteins to membranes. Lineage: Eukaryota; Metazoa; Chordata; Mammalia; Primates; Hominidae. The record is from Rfam.